GCCGCGGUAGAUCAGCCAGGGAGAUCGCACGGCUGAAGACCGUGUUGUCCGCGGUUCACAUAGACUCACUACGAGUUUGUGGCCGAAAAAUCCGCGCCGCGGCACCA
This 107-nucleotide transfer RNA is filed under the name Candidatus Thorarchaeota archaeon SMTZ-45. Its description in RNAcentral is "tRNA-Phe". The record is from RNAcentral. Lineage: Archaea; Promethearchaeati; Candidatus Thorarchaeota.